GAGUUUGAUCAUGGCUCAGAGCGAACGCUGGCGGCAGGCCUAACACAUGCAAGUCGAACGAACCCUUCGGGGUUAGUGGCGGGCGGGUGAGUAACACGUGGGAACGUACCCUUAGGUUCGGAAUAACUCAGGGAAACUUGAGCUAAUACCGAAUGUGCCCUUCGGGGAAAGAUUUAUCGCCUUUGGAGCGGCCCGCGUCUGAUUAGCCAGUUGGUGAGGUAAAGGCUCACCAAGGCUACGAUCAGUAGCUGGUCUGAGAGGAUGACCAGCCACACUGGGACUGAGACGCGGCCCAGACUCCUACGGGAGGCAGCAGGU
RNAcentral lists this ribosomal RNA (318 nucleotides) under uncultured Alphaproteobacteria bacterium. RNAcentral's name for it is "bacterial SSU rRNA". It matches the Rfam family "Bacterial small subunit ribosomal RNA", at positions 9 to 355 of the family's 1533-position model. The record is from RNAcentral. Lineage: Bacteria; Pseudomonadati; Pseudomonadota; Alphaproteobacteria.